AAAGAAUUUGCUAAGUGAAAAAUAUUACAAUGUGUGAACUGAUAGGAUUUUUAUUAGUCUUGACACUGUUGAGUCUCCACAUUUCCAGAUAUUUGGUUUUUAUCCUUAGUGGCAAAAGCCAGUGAUCUGUAGGCCCUUAAAACUCAAGUCACCACAGUCAUCUGGACAGUCUCCUUUGCUUCACACCCUCUUUUGUACAGG
RNAcentral lists this long non-coding RNA (201 nucleotides) under Bos taurus (domestic cattle). Its description in RNAcentral is "long non-coding RNA NONBTAT000641". The record is from RNAcentral. Lineage: Eukaryota; Metazoa; Chordata; Mammalia; Artiodactyla; Bovidae.